RNAcentral lists this ribosomal RNA (387 nucleotides) under uncultured bacterium glc11. RNAcentral's name for it is "bacterial SSU rRNA". It matches the Rfam family "Bacterial small subunit ribosomal RNA", at positions 1131 to 1515 of the family's 1533-position model. The record is from RNAcentral. RNAcentral also lists the same sequence under 1 other name.
CCGGGAACUCAUAGGAGACUGCCGGGGUCAACUCGGAGGAAGGUGGGGAUGAGGUCAAGUCAUCAUGCCCCUUAUGUCCAGGGCUUGAAACAUGCUACAAUGGCUGGUACAAAGGGCUGCAAUACCGCAAGGUGGAGCGAAUCCCAUAAAGCCAGUCUCAGUUCGGAUUGGGGUCUGCAACUCGACCCCAUGAAGUCGGAGUCGCUAGUAAUCGCAGAUCAGCAAUGCUGCGGUGAAUACGUUCCCGGGCCUUGUACACACCGCCCGUCAAGUCAUGAAAGUCGGUAACACCCGAAGCCGGUGGCCCAACCCUUGUGGAGGGAGCCGUCGAAGGUGGGACCGGUAAUUAGGACUAAGUCGUAACAAGGUAGCCGUACCGGAAGGUGC